UCUAGGUAGUUGGUGGUGUAAUGGACCACCAAGCCUUCGAUCGAUACGGGCCUUGAGAGAGGUAGCCCGGAGAGGAACACUGAGAAACUGGUUCCAGCCCUACGGGGUGCAGCAGGCGCGAAACCUUUACAAUGCACGCAAGUGUGAUAAGGGGAUCCUAAGUGCUCAUACUUUGUAUGGGCUUUUGUUAAGAGUAAAUAUCUUAGCGAAUAAGUGGUGGGUAAGACUGGUGCCAGCCGCCGCGGUAACACCACGCCACAAGUGGCAACCACGUUUAUUGGGCCUAAAGCGUCCGUAGCCGGUUUGGUAAAUCUCUUGUGAAAUCGACAAGCUCAACUUGUCGGCGUGCUUGAGACACUGCUAAACUCGAGACCGGGAGGAGUCAGAGGUAUUCCAGGGGGAGCGGUAAAAUGUGAUAAUCCUUGGAGGACCAUCUACGGCGAAGGCAUCUGACCAGAACGGAUCUGACGGUGAGGGACGAAGGCUAGGGGAGCGAUCCGGAUUAGAUACCCGAGUAGUCCUAGCAGUAAACGCUGUGAGCAAGAUGUUACGCAUCUUUUGAGGAUGCGUAGUGUCGAAAUGAAGAUGUUAAGCUCACCGCCUGGGAAGUACGGUCGCAAGACUGAAACUUUAAGGAAUUGGCGGGGGCGCACCACCAGGGGUGCGGCGUGCGGUUUAAUCUAACGAUACACAGAGAACCUUACUAGAAGCGACGGCAGGAAGAAGGUCAGCCUGAAGGGCUUACCCGACGAGCCGAGAGGUAGUGCAUGGCCGCCGUCAGCUCGUGCCGUAAGGUGUCCAGUUAAGUCUGGCAACGAGCGAGACCUAUACCCUCUAUUGCUAACAGCUACAUGUAGGACUGAGCACUUUGAGGGGACUGCCUUGGAAACAAGGAGGAAGGUGUAGGCAACGGUAGGUCUGUAUGCUCCGAAUCUUCUAGGCUACACGCGCGCAACAAUGGUAAUGACAAUGGGCUGCGACUCCGAAAGGAGAAGCUAAUCCUUCAAACAUUACCCCAGUUCGGAUCGCGGGUUGUAACUCACCCGCGUGACGCCGGAAUCCCUAGUAAACAGAUGUCAUCAUCUUCUGUUGAAUAUGUCCCUGCGCCUUGCACACACCGCCCGUCAAAUCAACCGAGCAGGAGUUUGGUAAAAUUCACUUUCUUGAGUAAAUUGAACCUAACUUCAGUGAGGCGGAUUAAGUCGUCACAAGGUA
RNAcentral lists this ribosomal RNA (1215 nucleotides) under metagenome. RNAcentral's name for it is "bacterial SSU rRNA". It matches the Rfam family "Archaeal small subunit ribosomal RNA", at positions 224 to 1445 of the family's 1478-position model. The record is from RNAcentral.